GAAAAAAGAAAAAGCAGAUGUUGAUGAUUUAACUGGUAAAGGCGGGCAAAUACAGGCAUCUUUAGGCAAAGCUAAAUUUGACCAACAAAUGUCCAAAGAACAGGUAACUAUCUUCAUUGGGUUGGCAGGCAAAUACAGACAGCUUUCAUAAGUUUCAUCAACAAGUGUAUUCAGAACAAGUAAAUUUAUUGGGAUAGCGGCCAAAUACAGGCAGACAUUAUUGCGAUACAUACUUUAUUAAACC
This 244-nucleotide long non-coding RNA is filed under the name Mytilus galloprovincialis (Mediterranean mussel). Lineage: Eukaryota; Metazoa; Mollusca; Bivalvia; Mytilida; Mytilidae. The record is from RNAcentral.